AGUGAACGCUGGCGGUAGGCCUAACACAUGCAAGUCGAACGGCAGCACAGUAAGAGCUUGCUCUUACGGGUGGCGAGUGGCGGACGGGUGAGGAAUACAUCGGAAUCUACUUUUUCGUGGGGGAUAACGUAGGGAAACUUACGCUAAUACCGCAUACGACCUACGGGUGAAAGCAGGGGAUCUUCGGACCUUGCGCGAUUGAAUGAGCCGAUGUCGGAUUAGCUAGUUGGCGGGGUAAAGGCCCACCGAGGCGACGAUCCGUAGCUGGUCUGAGAGGAUGAUCAGCCACACUGGAACUGAGACACGGUCCAGACUCCUACGGGAGGCAGCAGUGGGGAAUAUUGGACAAUGGGCGCAAGCCUGAUCCAGCCAUACCGCGUGGGUGAAGAAGGCCUUCGGGUUGUAAAGCCAUUUUGUUGGGAAAGAAAAGCAGCAGGUUAAUACCCCGCUGUUCUGACGGUACCCAAAGAAUAAGCACCGGCUAACUUCGUG
This 492-nucleotide ribosomal RNA is filed under the name uncultured bacterium. RNAcentral's name for it is "partial 16S ribosomal RNA". It matches the Rfam family "Bacterial small subunit ribosomal RNA", at positions 29 to 507 of the family's 1533-position model. The record is from RNAcentral.